CCAAAGGCUCUUUUCAGAGCCACUAAGAUUUCAAAAUUAGAGCUUU
Non-coding RNA from Rattus norvegicus (Norway rat), 46 nucleotides. The record is from Rfam. Lineage: Eukaryota; Metazoa; Chordata; Mammalia; Rodentia; Muridae.